UACGUAGGGGGCGAGCGUUGUCCGGAUUCAUUGGGCGUAAAGAGCUCGUAGGCGGCUUGGCAAGUCGGGUGUGAAAACUCCAGGCUCAACCUGGAGACGCCACCCGAUACUGCCAUGGCUUGAGUCCGGUAGGGGACCACGGAAUUCCUGGUGUAGCGGUGAAAUGCGCAGAUAUCAGGAGGAACACCGGUGGCGAAGGCGGUGGUCUGGGCCGGUACUAACGCUGAGGAGCGAAAGCGUGGGGAGCGAACAGG
RNAcentral lists this ribosomal RNA (254 nucleotides) under uncultured bacterium. RNAcentral's name for it is "partial 16S ribosomal RNA". It matches the Rfam family "Bacterial small subunit ribosomal RNA", at positions 524 to 776 of the family's 1533-position model. The record is from RNAcentral.